This 609-nucleotide ribosomal RNA is filed under the name uncultured fungus. RNAcentral describes it as "eukaryotic LSU rRNA". The stretch from base 218 to 371 matches the Rfam family "5.8S ribosomal RNA". Lineage: Eukaryota; Fungi. The record is from RNAcentral.
AGUAAAAGUCGUAACAAGGUUUCCGUAGGUGAACCUGCGGAAGGAUCAUUACAGAGUUCAUGCCCUUCGGGGUAGAUCUCCCACCCUUGUAUACCAUUAUCAAAUGUUGCUUUGGCGGGCCGUGAGCCUGGCUUGCCCGGAUUCGCGUCCGGCGUGCCCGCCAGAGGACCCAUAAACUCUGAAUGUUAGUGUCGUCUGAGUACUAUUAAAUAGUUAAAACUUUCAACAACGGAUCUCUUGGUUCUGGCAUCGAUGAAGAACGCAGCGAAAUGCGAUAAGUAAUGUGAAUUGCAGAAUUCAGUGAAUCAUCGAAUCUUUGAACGCACAUUGCGCCCCUUGGUAUUCCGGGGGGCAUGCCUGUUCGAGCGUCAUUAAUACCAAUCUAGCCCGGCUAGGUGUUGGGCCUCGCCGUUGGGCGGGCCUUAAAAUCAGUGGCGGUGCUUCUCAGCUCUACGCGUAGUAAAUCUCCUCGCUACAGGGCCUGUGAAGUUGCUGGCCAGCAACCCCGAAUUUUUCUAGGUUGACCUCGGAUCAGGUAGGGAUACCCGCUGAACUUAAGCAUAUCAAUAAGCGGAGGAAAAGAAACCAACAGGGAUUGCCUCAGUAACG